GUGGGGAAUUUUGGACAAUGGGCGAAAGCCUGAUCCAGCAAUGCCGCGUGCAGGAAGAAGGCGCUACGCGUUGUAAACUGCUUUUAACCGGGAAGAAACCCCAGGACGUGUCCUGGGUUGACGGUACCGGAGGAAUAAGCACCGGCUAACUUCGUGCCAGCAGCCGCGGUAAUACGAAGGGUGCAAGCGUUAUCCGGAUUCAUUGGGUUUAAAGGGUGCGUAGGCGGAGCGUUAAGUCAGUGGUGAAAUCCUGCAGCUUAACUGUAGACUUGCCAUUGAUACUGGCGCUCUUGAGUGCGCUUGAAGUGGGCGGAAUGUGACGUGUAGCGGUGAAAUGCUUAGAUAUGGCACAGAACACCAAUUGCGAAGGCAGCUCACUAAGGCGAUACUGACGCUGAGGCACGAAAGCGUGGGGAUCGAACAGGAUUAGAAACCCGAGUAGUCC
This 445-nucleotide ribosomal RNA is filed under the name uncultured bacterium. RNAcentral's name for it is "partial 16S ribosomal RNA". It matches the Rfam family "Bacterial small subunit ribosomal RNA", at positions 354 to 796 of the family's 1533-position model. The record is from RNAcentral.